RNAcentral lists this unclassified non-coding RNA (342 nucleotides) under uncultured fungus. RNAcentral's name for it is "sequence contains ITS1". The stretch from base 1 to 105 matches the Rfam family "5.8S ribosomal RNA", at positions 50 to 154 of the family's 154-position model. The record is from RNAcentral. Lineage: Eukaryota; Fungi.
GAAGUGCGAUAAGCAAUGCGAAUUGCAGAAUUCCGCGAAUCAUCAGAUCUUUGAACGCAAAUGGCGCCGGAGGGAUAUCCUUUCGGCAUGUCUGUUUCAGUGUCUGAGAGGUUUCAACAAAAUCUUAAUGUGAUUGAGGGGUUAGUUGAGGUAGCAAUAUCUCUCCCGACUCUUCUCUCAUGAAAGAUGGGUGAGUGGAUCUUUCGGUCCAAUGAAGUGGUCACAUCACUCGCAUGUGAUUUCAUUGGAAAUCACCGAAUUAUUCGUAUACUCACCGUACCUACAAACCAAAAAUCUCCAUACCCUGCAUCUGAGAUAGGCAAGAUCACCCGCUGAACUUAA